AUGAACGCUGGCGGCGUGCCUAAUCCCUGCAAGUCGCGCGAACAGACGAGGAGCUUGCUCCUCUGACGUUAGCGGCGGACGGGUGAGUAACACGUGGAUAACCUACCUAUAAGACUGGGAUAACUUCGGGAAACCGGAGCUAAUACCGGAUAAUAUAUUGAACCGCAUGGUUCAAUAGUGAAAGACGGUUUUGCUGUCACUUAUAGAUGGAUCCGCGCCGCAUUAGCUAGUUGGUAAGGUAACGGCUUACCAAGGCAACGAUGCGUAGCCGACCUGAGAGGGUGAUCGGCCACACUGGAACUGAGACACGGUCCAGACUCCUACGGGAGGCAGCAGUAGGGAAUCUUCCGCAAUGGGCGAAAGCCUGACGGAGCAACGCCGCGUGAGUGAUGAAGGUCUUCGGAUCGUAAAACUCUGUUAUUAGGGAAGAACAAAUGUGUAAGUAACUAUGCACGUCUUGACGGUACCUAAUCAGAAAGCCACGGCUAACUACGUG
This 496-nucleotide ribosomal RNA is filed under the name uncultured bacterium. RNAcentral describes it as "partial 16S ribosomal RNA". It matches the Rfam family "Bacterial small subunit ribosomal RNA", at positions 29 to 507 of the family's 1533-position model. The record is from RNAcentral.